Molecule: ribosomal RNA, 231 nt
Filed under: uncultured bacterium
Lineage: Bacteria
Description: partial 16S ribosomal RNA
Rfam family: Bacterial small subunit ribosomal RNA
Source: RNAcentral
GAUCAUGGCUCAGGAUGAACGCUAGCUACAGGCUUAACACAUGCAAGUCGAGGGGCAGCAUGGUCUUAGCUUGCUAAGGCCGAUGGCGACCGGCGCACGGGUGAGUAACGCGGUAUCCACCUGCCUUACACUCUUGAACAGCCUUCUGAAAGGGAGAUUAAUACAAGAUGUUAUCAUGAGUAAGCAUUUUCGCAUGAUUAAAGGUUUACCGGUGUAAGAUGGGGAUGCGUU